UAAGAAAAAAGGCUACAUCAAUAUUUUUCCCCUAGUUUAUUUAAAGUAAGAUGAGGAUCGUGAUUGUAAAUAAACUAGGGGAAAAAUAUUGAUGUAGCCUUUUUUCUUA
This 109-nucleotide microRNA precursor is filed under the name Podarcis lilfordi (Lilford's wall lizard). The record is from RNAcentral. Lineage: Eukaryota; Metazoa; Chordata; Lepidosauria; Squamata; Lacertidae.